GGCAUUUCGCCGCCGACUGCCGCAAGCCCAAGCGCGAGUAUGGAGCCUGCUACGCAUGUGGCAGUAAGGAUCAUCUGGUGUACAACUGCACUGAGAGGAAGUUCGUAUCCGACAACGAAUAUAAUGCCUAAUCGAUUCUGGAAGUCCAAUUAGUUUCAUAAAGAAGUCAUACGUCGAAAAAAUUUUGAAAAAGGAAGAUAUUACGUUAAAUGGAAAGAUUCUUAAAAAUUAUUUUGGCUUAAACGGUAGCCCUUUAGAUAUAAUUGGAAAAAUAUCAUGUUUCGUUAUUAUCAAUAAAGAAAUUCUAAAUUUUGAGUUACUAA
Long non-coding RNA from Drosophila santomea, 323 nucleotides. RefSeq lists it as uncharacterized. The record is from RefSeq and is a predicted model, not a curated record. The transcript has 2 exons. Lineage: Eukaryota; Metazoa; Arthropoda; Insecta; Diptera; Drosophilidae.